GCUGCAAGAAAAAAGUUUUUUGGACAGAGACAAGAUUCGGUGUGAUCGGCUUAUCUAAAGCUUCAUAUUUCACGACUUCGACCGAGAUUCAACAGACCAUACAUACUCGGCAGAUUGUGCUCAAUCAAAACAAAGCAAACAUGGCUCACAAUUUUGAACUGCUGUGCCGUCUUGCAAGAGAGUGAGAUUCAGCAACACAUAGAAAGACCACAGCAUGGAUUAAGAGACAGGAAGAAACCAUUUGAAUACUACGAGGAUGAACCUCUCAGAGUGGGGUACCAACAGAGAGAACCACACAUUGCCUGUCAUGUUACAGGUUUUGACAGGACUUGGUUUUAUGUCAUUGGUACCUUUUAGAAGAUGCAAGCAGACGAAGCAACUAUAUCACAGUCAUCCGUGUGCAGAAUCAUCAAAGAUUUUUCUGAGGCAAUAGCAAGGAGUAACAGUCAAUGAAGUUUCCGAUGACGAGAAAUUCAAACCACCCAGCGACAAUUUGAUGAUUGCUACAGGUUUCCAAGAGUCAUAGGUGCUAUCGAUUGGGGCCAAUCCAGGCCAUGUCUGCAUCAGGAGUCCUGAUGGGGAACAAGCCCUGUACUUAGCAGGAAGAACAGGUCUUCUGUAAAUGUAUAGGUAUCCGUUGCUCCCCUCUUUGAUGAAUUCCUGCCUGCAUUCUGUUGUCAAUAGAAAAGGACGGUGUGCUACGGGUAUAAGCAUUCCAUUGGAUUAUCUGUGCAUGAAAGUGGACACUUGUGAUAAAAAAUGGUAGCUUGGUUGUAGUGGCGUACCUAGGAUUUUCCACAGGGAGGGCAAAACCGUUCGGCCGAAAAAUUUUACAAGUAAAAAAAAAAAAGGUCUUCAAUCACAAAUAAAGGAUUUCGUACCAGAAAAAAAAUUGGCAAGCAAAAAAAAAAGGUGUUCAAGCUCGUCAGGGGGGCAGGUAUACGUCCUUUGCAUGGGUUGUGGCUCGUCGUAGGUACGCUAGUGCUUGGUUGAUAGGAUGUAUUCAUGCAUUCCGAUUUAUCAUUAGUGAUCAAAUGACCAUCUUGCUUUUUAAAAACCCAAGUUCACAACAUUUUUCUUGUUUGAUAAAAGGUUUGGGACGUGAAUUCCAGGAUAUAAAUGACACAUAAUUAUGAUGGGCUAAUGUAUAAGCAGGGACAUGAGAGGUAUAAGCAACAUUUUUUUCAUGCUUAAUUAAGUUUGGCAUGAGAUGGACUUGGUCUUUCUUAUGAUUCAAGUCUAUUUUAUACCAAUUUUGUUUUAAUCAACAAUCAAUGUUUUAAGUCUCAUGAUUUCAAUUUCAAAACCUCUUUGUUAAUUAAAUAUUCAUUUUUCCUUAGCAUUUGCAUCUUCUUAAUUUAUCAAAUUUAAAUUAUAAGAUAUCAUUUUUGCUGAAUAUCCCUUUUUUCACCUAUUUUCAUAGGCCCUAAGAUACAUUUCUGUAGUAAGCACUAUAAAUACAUUGCAAGCUAUUAUCAUUUGUUUGAUAUUACUAUUUUAUAGAAUCAUCUUUUAAUUUCUUUCAGAAAGAUAUUUGACAAAUUACUUGUGAUAUCCAUGCUUUAGCUGUAGAGUUUAAAAUCUUCAUUAAACCCACUGGGCAAUUUGUUACCGAUUACCAAUUUUACCGGUUAUUACCGGUAAUAUCACCCGGAAAUUUGAGUAACACCAAAUAUUACCGUUAUUACCAUGUUAUUACCGAAAUUAUAAUUCCUGUUGAUACCUGUUACUGUUAUCACCCUGAUGAAACCUACAUUUACCUAGUUACAACAGGGUGAUGAGGGGUAAUAAGGGUAAUGUUGAAUGACUUUGAUUGGUUAUAACAUUGCAAACUUUAGUAAUAAGAGCAAUCUUACAGCAAUCCCAGCGAAAUUUUCAAAGUCCAAAAAAUUACUGUUAUCACCCUGAUGAAACCAACAUUUUACCCAGUUACAAACAGGUUGAUAAGGGGUAAUGGGUAAUGUUGAAACGCUUCCAUUCCCAUACAGCAAAGUAUCUGGAUCACAUACGGUUCUUAUCUGGGAUAUCUGGGUCCCAUAUGGGCCCACAUGGAACCCAGAUGAAAACAUAUACUUGAACCCACAUGGUGCCCAGAUAGGACUCAGAUGGAAACGAGACCUCCAACCCAUGCGGAACCCAUUAAUAUUGGGUAAAUGGAGUAAUAUCAGAUGGUAAUAUCAGGAAAAUGCUGGGAAUAUUAGUUACUCAUGAAUAUACUACAAUAAAUGGCCAAAAUUUUAGCUAAUAUAGCUGUAAUAAUUAAUGUGUUUAUGUUUAUGCAAUUAUUCCACCCAGAAAAUUUUCAGAAAAAUGUGUAGUUUAUAUAUCAUAUUAGUCAUAAUCAUGACAUUAAUUUUAGAAAAAUGUUUUAGGGUUGAAUAAUUGUUAACCAUAAUUUGUCAAGUGUUGUAAACUCGCUCAAUAUAUAGAAGUAAAUGACAGGGUUUGGUGGAUAGGUGUAGGAUAGGAUUAGGAUUAGGAUGUAGGAUUUUAGGAUAGGAUAAGAUGAUAUGGCUUAGAGUAUGGAGUUGUAAAAAUGUGCUUCAAUGACCCUAAUGACACUAAUUGUUUUUUUAAUGAGCCGACAUUAAUUGGGUAAUAUUGGGUAAACAGAGUAAUAUGAGGUGGUGAUAUCAUUAAAAUAAUGGAAAUAUCGGUUACAUCAUACUGGGUAAUAUUGGGUAAAUGGAGUAAUAUCGGGUCCGGGUAAUAACGGGGAAAGAUUGGUCUACUAUUUCCCCGUUACUACCCACUGGUGUUACCGUGGUAUAAUAACUACGUUAUUACCUGUUACAACCCGGGUAAUAUCGGGUAAAAUGCCCAGUGGGAAGGAGAAUGAAACCCUUGAAACCAGCUGAAUCCAUAUCAAAGAAAAAAUUCAAAGAAACAUAUUGUUGAAAGUUUGAGGAAGAUUGAAUGAAUAAUAAGAAAGUUAUGAGCAUUUGAAUAUUGAGAUCACUAAUGCCAUGUAGAUCCUCCCAUUGGCAAUGCGACCAAGAUCUGUGAUGUCACACACGUACAACUCCCUCAUUGCUUUAGUACUUAUUUCACUUAUAUUCUCACUUAUUAUAGAAUCUAUCACAAGGUGAGGUGUUCUCUUUAUGAGAGGACAAGUACAGAGGUUUCACAACAUUAUAUCAUUGAUGAAUCGUUUGUCAUAUGAUUAGAAUGAGCAAAAAGAGAUGUUUUGGGGUAUAUUUUCAGUGUCCAAAAGGGGAGAGUUGUUCAUCUGUGAUAUCAUAGAUCUUGUUGCGUUGCCAAUGGGAGGAUCUCCAUAGCAAUAGUGAUCUCGACAUUCAAAUGUUCAUAACUCUUCUAUUGCUAGUCCUAUUUUACUCAAACUUUUGUUGAUCUUAUUCUUUGAUUUUUCUGCUUUCACAAAAGCUAACUUGCUCCAAGAGUUUCAUUCUCCUUUAAGAUUGUUUACGAUUUUCAAUAUUUCCUCAGAAUUUGUUGGAUUAAAAAACAAUGUAUGUUGACAUGAAUUGCGUAAAUAAUCUGCAAAUUUAUUUAAUCUGUUGUUUAUCUAUUUUCAUUCAGAGUUUCUGAAAACGUAAACAUAUCAUUUGUAUCAUUAUGUAAAGAAUUUCAAUCUACCUUAAAAAGUAAUGCACUAAAUAAACUGCUCUGUCUACU
This is a long non-coding RNA of Lytechinus pictus (painted urchin), 3636 nucleotides long. RefSeq lists it as uncharacterized. The transcript is spliced from 5 exons. The record is from RefSeq and is a predicted model, not a curated record. NCBI's taxonomy places the organism in Eukaryota, Metazoa, Echinodermata, Echinoidea, Temnopleuroida, Toxopneustidae.